This 1292-nucleotide ribosomal RNA is filed under the name metagenome. Its description in RNAcentral is "SSU rRNA". It matches the Rfam family "Eukaryotic small subunit ribosomal RNA", at positions 309 to 1461 of the family's 1831-position model. The record is from RNAcentral.
CAUCUAUCAGUUGAAGAACUGUUUCAUUAACAGUCCUGACAACAACGGAUACGGAAAAUCAGUGUUUGAUUCCGGAGAAAGAGCCUUAAAAACGGCUACUAGUACCAAGGUUCGCAACAGGCGCGAAAAUUAUCCAAUGCAAAUAAAUUUUUGCGAGAUAGUGAAAAGAAAUAAGCAUCCUAAACAAUUUAGUUUAGGAGUACUAAUUAUUUAUAGUUAGUUUACAAUGGUAGCGAUAUAGAUACCCGCUAGAGUAACAAUUAGAGGUCAAGUCAGGUGCCAGCAUCCGCGGUAAUACCUGCUCUAAUAGUCUAUAAUAAAAUUGUUGUGGUUAAAACGCUCGUAGUCAAUUCAUGAGGGUGAUCGUGAUAGUCGAUUUUAUUUUGUAUACAUGUUGUUAUUUUAAUGAUAAUGUGUAUAUCCGCUCACCCGGGCCUUUAUAGGUAAAAAUGUUAAUCUCAGCAUAAGCUUUAAUCUUCCUCCUAAAUUUCAAAAAGAUAGGAAGAAAGGGUUGGAGUCUCCAUGUGGCUAUCAAGUCAUUUCUCGUUUCUCAACUGUGACUAAAUUAAAUCGCUUAAGGCAUGAUUUGUUAAUAUUCCUUUUUCGGAAGGUUUAUUUCUGUGAUGCAAUAUAAUGGAGCAUAGUACCCAUUUUCUAGAUAGUUUCAUCUAUUUAGAUUAGAUAAUAGAACUAGGUUCAAGUUCUCAGUAUUUGUCGAUCAGGGGUGAAAUCCGUAUAGUCAACAACGACUUCCGAAAGCGAAAGCAGGGAGCCAGAACUGGUUUAUUGAUCAGGAGCUAGAGUCAAGGGAGCAAAGAUGAUUAGAUACCGUCGUAGUCUUGACUAUAAACUAUACAAAUUAGAGCUUGUAUAAAGCCUUGUUAUUAGAUUUAUACAUGAUCCCCGAGAAAUCAUAAAUUUUUGUGUUCCAGGGGAAGUAUAUUCGCAAGAAUGAAACUUAAAGGAAUUGACGGAAAUUCACCACCAGGAGUGGAGUUUGCGGCUUAAUUCGACCCAACGCGUGAAAACUUACCAAAUCCGAAUUAUAGUAAGAUUGACAGGUUAAUGACUUUUCUUGAUUUAUAAAAGAGUGGUGCAUGGUCGUUCUCAGUUCGUGGAUUAAUCUGUCUACUUAAUUGUGUUAACGAGCGAGAUCUUAAUUAACUAAUUAGUAUCGAGUAAUUCUAACCAGUUUAGAAUCAAAAUUGAGAAUAACUAUUAAAAUAGUUUUUUCUUCUUAGUAAAACCUCGUUCGAUUUACAACAGAGCCAGGAAGUAAGGCUAUAACAGAU